Molecule: non-coding RNA, 73 nt
Organism: Mizuhopecten yessoensis (Yesso scallop)
Lineage: Eukaryota; Metazoa; Mollusca; Bivalvia; Pectinida; Pectinidae
Source: the annotation of a RefSeq genome assembly
GACCAGGUAGCUCAGUUGGUAGAGCGUCCGACUAGAGUUCGGAUGGUUCUGGGUUUGAAUCCCGGUCUGGCCG